CUACGGGAGGCUGCAGCAAGGAAUUUUGGGCAAUGAGCGAAAGCUUGACCCAGCGACACCGCGUGAGGGAGUAAGGCCUUCGGGUUGUAAACCUCUUUUCCUGGGGAAGAACUCUGACGGUACCCAGGGAAUAAGCCUCGGCCAACUACGUGCCAGCAGCCGCGGUAAUACGUAGGAGGCGAACGUUAUUCGGAUUUACUGGGCGUAAAGGGAGCGUAGGCGGUUCCUCAAGUCGAAUGUGAAAUCUUCCGCCUCAAUCGGAAGGCGCCAUUUGAUACUGGGGGACUUGAGAGCAGCAGAGGGGAAUGGAAUCUCCAGUGUAGCGGUGAAAUGCGUAGAUAUUGGAGAGAACACCAGUGGCGAAAGCGAUUUCCCAGGCUGCUUCUGACGCUGAGGCUCGAAAGCGUGGGGAGCGAAGCGGAUUAGAUACCCGGGUAGUC
Molecule: ribosomal RNA, 440 nt
Filed under: uncultured bacterium
Lineage: Bacteria
Description: partial 16S ribosomal RNA
Rfam family: Bacterial small subunit ribosomal RNA
Source: RNAcentral